RNAcentral lists this long non-coding RNA (285 nucleotides) under Daucus carota (carrot). RNAcentral describes it as "long non-coding RNA (DCAR_LNC002087)". The record is from RNAcentral. Lineage: Eukaryota; Viridiplantae; Streptophyta; Magnoliopsida; Apiales; Apiaceae.
AGCGCGGCCGCGCCCUCCAGAAGUGCUCCGGGCCGAUUUUUACAGCUUUUUUGAUGGAUUUUCGCAGCGGACGAGGCCCGGUUGACUUAGUCAAAGCAUUUUAAUUUCUCAAGUGUAAAAACCCUAGCCUCCAAGUAGUUUUAGUAUCGUAGAAUAUCGGAUUAUAGUUUUAUCAGUUUUUCUCUUGUAAUCAAGCACAUUAUCAGUUUUGUAUUGGAUCGUUCUUCGCGAGGAAGUGACAGUUUCGAGCGAGAUCGUGAACAUCAAAUCUGUAACGUUGUGUUC